GAUGAAGAACGUAGUGAAAUGCGAUAAGUAAUGCGAAUUGCAGAAUUUCCGUGAGUCAUCGAAUCUUUGAACGCACAUUGCGCCCACUGGUAUUCCGGUGGGCAUGCCUGUUCGAGCGUCAUUAUCCUCCCUCAAACCUCGGGUUUGGUGUUGACCCAAGUUGUGUGAACAACUGGUCUUAAAGACAAUGACGGCGUCCGUGGGACCCUCGGUGCAACGAGCUUUUAGGAGCACGCGUCGAGUUUCAAGGACCUUCCGGGCCGGUCUCCUUUACCAUUUUACAAGGUUGACCUCGGAUCAGGUAGGAAUACCCGCUGAACUUAAGCAUAUCAAUAAGCGGAGGA
This 344-nucleotide unclassified non-coding RNA is filed under the name soil metagenome. RNAcentral's name for it is "partial contains 5.8S ribosomal RNA, internal transcribed spacer 2, and large subunit ribosomal RNA". The stretch from base 1 to 121 matches the Rfam family "5.8S ribosomal RNA", at positions 35 to 154 of the family's 154-position model. The record is from RNAcentral.